This 407-nucleotide ribosomal RNA is filed under the name Clostridioides difficile. RNAcentral's name for it is "bacterial LSU rRNA". It matches the Rfam family "Bacterial large subunit ribosomal RNA", at positions 1843 to 2248 of the family's 2925-position model. Lineage: Bacteria; Bacillati; Bacillota; Clostridia; Peptostreptococcales; Peptostreptococcaceae. The record is from RNAcentral.
GUAUAGGAGCUGACGCCUGCCCGGUGCUGGAAGGUUAAGGGGAUCUGUUAGAGCAAUCGAAGCAGUGAACUUAAGCCCCAGUAAACGGCGGCCGUAACUAUAACGGUCCUAAGGUAGCGAAAUUCCUUGUCGGGUAAGGUCCGACCCGCACGAAAGGCGUAACGAUUUGGGCACUGUCUCAACAACAGACUCGGUGAAAUUGUAAUUCCGGUGAAGAUGCCGGAUACCGGCGACAGGACGGAAAGACCCCAUGGAGCUUUACUGUAGCUUGACAUUGGGUCUUGGUACUACAUGUACAGGAUAGGUGGGAGGCUUUGAAACCAGGACGCCAGUUUUGGCGGAGCCAUCCUUGGGAUACCACCCUUGUAGUACUGGGACUCUAACCAUAGGCCAUGAAUCUGGUCUUG